RNAcentral lists this ribosomal RNA (360 nucleotides) under Triticum aestivum (bread wheat). RNAcentral describes it as "partial small subunit ribosomal RNA". The record is from RNAcentral. Lineage: Eukaryota; Viridiplantae; Streptophyta; Magnoliopsida; Poales; Poaceae.
AUGUCCCGGCUUAACUAUGAGAUCAUCUCCCUGAUCCCCAAGGUGCUGGGAGCCGCUGACAUUCGGCAGUUCCGUCCUAUCACAGUCCUCAAUGUGUUAUUUCGGAUUUUGGCCAAGGGGUAUGCCACUAGGGCGGCCCUAAUCGCCCCCCGGAUCCAUCACCCGAACCAGUCAGCCUUCACGAAAGGCCGGUAUAUUCUGGAUGGGAUCCUUGUUCUCCAGGAGGUCAUCCAUGAAGUCAAGAGCAAGCAUCUUUGCGCUUUGUUCUUCAAGAUUGACUUCCAUAAAGCAUACGACAUUGUCCAUUGGUCCUUCCUUCGGGAGGUGUUGCUAAAGCGUGGGUUCACUCUCAUUGAGUAA